GGGGGCGACAGGCUUCGACGUAGGUCCUAAAACCUGAGACGCAUGCCGAGCCGGCGACGUAGGCUCGUAAAUCAAUCAGUUGCAAAAAAAUAGUUGCAAACGAUAGCAAUUAUCUCCAAGAAGCUUACGCAUAAUGCUUCUUCCGUUGUUAGGAUUCGCUUAUAGGUCCUUAUCAGCGGUCAUAUAUGUAGGCUCUGCCUUACAUCAUAGCCCAAUGAUUUAAAGGCAAGUCAAAUAAAAGGGCUCGCUGUCAAUUUUCUCUGCACGUCGAGUAGUUGUCAGUCAAAUAAUAGACGCUGCUAAGCAUGUAGAAUCAAAGGUGAGUUAGACUUGCGGACGCGGGUUCAAUUCCCGCCGCCUCCACAC
Molecule: transfer-messenger RNA, 366 nt
Filed under: Coxiellaceae
Lineage: Bacteria; Pseudomonadati; Pseudomonadota; Gammaproteobacteria; Legionellales
Also listed under: 1 other name
Description: Coxiella sp024730665 Standard tmRNA
Rfam family: transfer-messenger RNA
About the family: Bacterial tmRNA, also known as 10Sa RNA or SsrA, is named for its dual tRNA and mRNA-like properties.
Source: RNAcentral